This 1493-nucleotide ribosomal RNA is filed under the name metagenome. RNAcentral describes it as "bacterial SSU rRNA". It matches the Rfam family "Bacterial small subunit ribosomal RNA". The record is from RNAcentral.
AGAGUUUGAUCCUGGCUCAGAUUGAACGCUGGCGGCAUGCCUUACACAUGCAAGUCGAACGGUAACGCGGGGGCAACCCUGGCGACGAGUGGCGAACGGGUGAGUAAUACAUCGGAACAUAUCCAGUAGCGGGGGAUAACCUAUCGAAAGAUGGACUAAUACCGCAUACGAUCUACGGAUGAAAGCAGGGGACCGCAAGGCCUUGCACUAUUGGAGUGGCCGAUGUCGGAUUAGCUAGUUGGUGGGGUAAAAGCUUACCAAGGCGACGAUCCGUAGCUGGUCUGAGAGGACGAUCAGCCACACUGGAACUGAGACACGGUCCAGACUCCUACGGGAGGCAGCAGUGGGGAAUUUUGGACAAUGGGCGCAAGCCUGAUCCAGCCAUGCCGCGUGAGUGAAGAAGGCCUUCGGGUUGUAAAGCUCUUUCGGUGAAGACGAAACGGUUCAUGCUAAUAACGUGAACUAAUGACGGUACUCACAGAAGAAGCACCGGCUAACUACGUGCCAGCAGCCGCGGUAAUACGUAGGGUGCAGGCGUUAAUCGGAAUUACUGGGCGUAAAGCGUGCGCAGGCGGUUUGCUAAGACAGGUGUGAAAUCCCCGGGCUUAACCUGGGAAUUGCGCUUGUAACUGGCAAGCUAGAGUGUGGCAGAGGGGGGUGGAAUUCCACGUGUAGCAGUGAAAUGCGUAGAUAUGUGGAGGAACACCGAUGGCGAAGGCAGCCCCCUGGGUUAACACUGACGCUCAUGCACGAAAGCGUGGGGAGCAAACAGGAUUAGAUACCCUGGUAGUCCACGCCCUAAACUAUGUCAACUAGUUGUCGGGGAAGAAGUUCCUUGGUAGCGAAGCUAACGCGUGAAGUUGACCGCCUGGGGAGUACGGCCGCAAGGUUAAAACUCAAAGGAAUUGACGGGGACCCGCACAAGCGGUGGAUUAUGUGGAUUAAUUCGAUGCAACGCGAAAAACCUUACCUACCCUUGACAUGCUAGGAAGCCCGCAGAGAUGUGGGUGUGCCCGAAAGGGAACCUAGACACAGGUGCUGCAUGGCUGUCGUCAGCUCGUGUCGUGAGAUGUUGGGUUAAGUCCCGCAACGAGCGCAACCCUUGCCAUUAGUUGCUACAUUCAGUUGGGCACUCUAAUGGUACCGCCGGUGACAAACCGGAGGAAGGUGGGGAUGACGUCAAGUCCUCAUGGCCCUUAUGGGUAGGGCUUCACACGUAAUACAAUGGUCGGUACAGAGGGCUGCCAACCCGCAAGGGGGAGCUGAUCCCAGAAAGCCGAUCGUAGUCCGGAUUGUAGUCUGCAACUCGACUGCAUGAAGCCGGAAUCGCUAGUAAUCGCGGAUCAGCAUGUCGCGGUGAAUACGUUCCCGGGUCUUGUACACACCGCCCGUCACACCAUGGGAGUGGGUUCCACCAGAAGUAGUUAGCCUAACCGCAAGGAGGGCGAUUACCACGGUGAGAUUCAUGACUGGGGUGAAGUCGUAACAAGGUA